CUACCCUUGACAUGGCAGGAAUCCGGAGAGAUUUGGGAGUGCUCGAAAGAGAACCUGCACACAGGUGCUGCAUGGCUGUCGUCAGCUCGUGUCUGUGAGAUGUUGGGUUAAGUCCCGCAACGAGCGCAACCCUUGCUCAUUAGUUGCUACGCAAGAGCACUCUAAUGAGACUGCCGGUGACAAACCGGAGGAAGGUGGGGAUGACGUCAGUCCUCAUGGCCCUUAUGGGUAGGGCUUCACACGUCAUACAAUGGUCGGAACAGAGGGUUGCCAAGCCGCGAGGUGGAGCCAAUCCCAGAAAACCGAUCGUAGUCCGGAUCGCAGUCUGCAACUCGACUGCGUGAAGCUGGAAUCGCUAGUAAUCGCGAAUCAGAAUGUCGCGGUGAAUACGUUCCC
RNAcentral lists this ribosomal RNA (396 nucleotides) under uncultured bacterium. RNAcentral's name for it is "bacterial SSU rRNA". It matches the Rfam family "Bacterial small subunit ribosomal RNA", at positions 975 to 1375 of the family's 1533-position model. The record is from RNAcentral.